Molecule: ribosomal RNA, 393 nt
Filed under: uncultured bacterium
Lineage: Bacteria
Description: partial 16S ribosomal RNA
Rfam family: Bacterial small subunit ribosomal RNA
Source: RNAcentral
AUACGUAGGUGGCGAGCGUUAUCCGGAAUUACUGGGUGUAAAGGGUGUGUAGGCGGGAAGGCAAGUCGGAUGUGAAAAUUAUGGGCUUAACCCAUAAAGUGCGACCGAAACUGUCUUUCUUGAGGAUCGGAGAGGUAAUGAGAAUUCCCGGUGUAGCGGUGAAAUGCGCAGAGAUCGGGAGGAAUACCGGUGGCGAAGGCGAAUUACUGGACGAUAACUGACGCUGAGACACGAAAGCGUGGGGAGCAAACAGGAUUAGAUACCCUGGUAGUCCACGCCCUAAACGAUGAAUGCUAGGUGUAGGGGAGUCAUCCUCUGUGCCGCAGCUAACGCAAUAAGCAUUCCACCUGGGGAGUACGGCCGCAAGGUUGAAACUCAAAUGAAUUGACGGGG